Helianthus annuus (common sunflower) is the source of this 6076-nucleotide long non-coding RNA. RefSeq lists it as uncharacterized. The record is from RefSeq and is a predicted model, not a curated record. The transcript is spliced from 29 exons. Lineage: Eukaryota; Viridiplantae; Streptophyta; Magnoliopsida; Asterales; Asteraceae.
CACGACACAAACUAGGGUUUUUCUCAUCUCACAUUUCCUCUCAUCCUCUGCUCUCUCUCUCUCUCUCUCUACGGUGAUUGCAGCGACUUCAUCAGGCCUCUCUCUCGGAUCUCGCCAGAUCUCUCACCAGAUCUGUGAGGAUUUCACCAGAUCGAUGAAGGGUUUGCCAUUUCAACCAUCUCCCUGCUUCUCUCUCAAAAAAGAUCUAGGGUUUCUCUAGGCGGAGCCGAGCCACUGGCUCACUGCGACCUCGCCGGCGGUUUGAUCCUUCCAUGGAACCAAAUAGUCCGAGCCGUGUAGGCUGCUCAUAUCACCAAAUCCGGUUUCAGUGGCACUCUUUUCGUUUUUGGGAGUGAAGAACAAGCAGAUCCGGUAUCCUAACUUGAUUUACCGGGUUGCUUUGAACUUUUACAUGUGUGGACCUCUGAUGGCGUUGUGUUCAAGUACGGCUCUAAGCCUAUUCAGAACUUUCUAUACAGAUUGAUGAUGUGUUGUCUUAUAUGAUAUGUUUGAGGAAGAACUGAUCAGCCUGCAGCCCUACAUCAACUUCAAAAUGUGAUUCAACAUCAACAUCAGAUGGUAUUUUGGCUCGCAAUAAAAAGAUGAACUUUAUGUCUUCUAGGAUGGCUCUUAUUCGAGGGGUCCAGUUGACAUACCUGUUGGAGAAGUUAAUGAUUCCAACUACUUUUUAUCCCCAACGUUCAAGUUUGAGCAAGUAAGUUCUUUUUGGUGGUUUCCUUUUGCAGGAUAUAUUACGAAUCUUAUUGUUUAUCUUUCAUGUUAUGCAUAGUGGUGUGAAUAUGUAGGGUUGCUUAAGUUCUGGUUUUGACUAAAAAAGAAAACCAAACCAAACCAAAUUGUAUCUGGAUUUAAAUUGUAUUCAAUUUAGGGAUCUUAAUAUGGUUGGGAUCCGAAACCGAAUUUCAUCAUUUGUUUUUGGUUUGAUUUUCGAAUUAAAGGUUUCCAAACAAAACCAAACUGAACACUGGUAUAUAUAUAUAUAGCUAUACUAUAUAUAAUAUACAUAUCCAAAGGACUUUGUAGUCUACGAGCCCUAACUUUUUAACUUUUUUACUGUUUUUCUGAUGGAAACCGAGAAUGGAGGUUGAGAGGCUUUACGACGUCGUUUCCGGUGCUCAGAAAUCUGUUUAUUGGCUUAUGUUUUUGGUACCAUGUCUCUCUUUUUGCCACUUGGAAACAAAGGGGAAUGCAUUUCUCAGUUGCUUCUGGUUCUUAGCAAAAUGAAUUUGGUUUUCAGUUAUGUGCCUGAAUUUUAUUUAGAAACUCUGGUUGAUUGUUUUCAUGUUUUGCGAAAGAGUGAUCCUCCUUUUGUUUAUAAAACAAGGACUUGGUUCAUUUGUUACUUUUGUGGUUACCCAUUUCAGCGACCCGAGAAUAUCAAGCACAGAACUAAGAGAUCUACUUCUGCAAUCAAUUUCUGUAUUAGUUCAGUACAAAGAGUUUUUGGCUGCUUUUGAGAGCAACCGAGCAGCAACUCGUAGCCUCCCAACAUCACUUUUAUCAGUCUUUGAUAAACGAUCAUGGAUUCCUGUAACGAUUUGAGUUGUGGCUGCAAGUUUUGUAUCGGGUUACAAGUUGUUGGAUUCGGCUCAAGAAGGUGGCGACCCAUGUUUGCCGGUUGCAUGGUCAUGGUUGGAGUGUAAUUCAGAUCGUGAACCGAAGAUUAUAUCGGUCCGGUUGGUGCAAUCACUCCAUGUAAUUUCUCCAUCGCAAUGAUUGCUCGCAAGGUUGGCCCUGCUCUUGCCUGUGGCUGUACUGUGGUCAUAAAGCCCUCUGAGCUCACACCAUUGACCGCCUUAGCAGCAGCUGAGCUGGCCCUUCAAUCUGGAAUUCCGCCUGGUGUCUUGAAUGUGGUCAUGGGAUAUCCUCCUAGCAUUGGUGAUUCUCUACUAUAGAGCACACAGGAUGGCAAUAUGGUUAGAUCGUUGAUAGCUGAUAUCCGUAAUUAAUCCAAGUAUCAUUUAGGAGCGGAUUUGUUAAGCUCAGGUUCGGUAGUUGGGGAAUCGUUAUUGAAAGAUCUUUGGCAACAUCAAGAUGCCAUUUUGUGUUGUUCUCUAAAGCCGUAAAGCAAUCACCAGUCAGAGAGCUUGCUUUUUGCAUGCAGCUGUAAAUGAAUAAUAACUAUUCAGAGUUGUGAGUUGUCUGACAUGGAGCAUGCUUGGAAGUCUAUAAAUUCAACAUCAAGCUCAACACUCUACAAGCACUCAACUGAGAUGAUUUAAACCUUCAAAUUAAUAUCAAUACUCCUUUCAUCUGGGUCUUGCGUUGUUUCUCGGCUCUUCACAUCAAGGUCUUACAUUUUUUGUCGGCUUUUUACAUCUCUCUCUUGCAUUGUUGAAUAUUGUAGGUUAUGUGGUGAAUCGGAUCCGAUCCGAAAACUGGGACAAAAUGCCAUAGCUGCCGCCUCCAUCAUGAUGGCUAGGGUUCUGAUGAGUUGAAUCUGGUGAAGCAUAUCCGCAAGUCACAUGCCAUCUGUUUUCGCAUAGCCAUUGCUUCUGCAUUUGCUCCACAUAAUUCAUCUGUUAGGGAGGGACGAUACGGGAUCCCUAGAACAGGCCCUUGUUGUGCUGGUACAUGGUAUGGGUCCAAAUUAGGAGCUUAUAAGUAAUGGCGCUGUUGAUGUGUGUAUCUUAAGUCUACCUUGCUAAAUCGUGUGAGAUCGGGCUGCGAGACCAGGAACAAUGUGCUUCUUGCUGUUCCGGCACUUGUCUAUUCUAUCAAUAACUACUUGAAGUUCAUCAUGCAGCAACUGUAAAGAUGCUGAGCAAUCUAAAGGUUCUGGUUAUUGCAGUUUUGCUAAAGAUAAUAAUGAAACGUCAAUUUUCCAUUAUUCAGAUGAUGACAAGGAGGUCGACAAAGAAGCAUUAUGGCAGAGAUUGAAGUACUAAGAAAGGAGAGCUCCUGGGAUAAAUGGCACAAUUCAGUGGUGAGGGCCCAGAUGGAGCAAUGAAACAAAUACGGAACCUGGAUAACCUGUAUUGGAGAUUUGGGCUUAACUUGGGGACAAAUGACAUAUCUAAGAACACAGAAGAGAGAGAGAUAGAAAGAGAUAUCUGGAGUUAGAGAGAGAAAAGAGGAGCUACAAGAGGAGAGAGAGAGAACGGUGAUGGCAGCUGUUAGGGUUCCGGCCGUGAAACCGACUUUUCAUUUUUCUGGUCUGGUGAAUCAGGAGAGCAAAUUCUUGAAGUAUUUAGGAUUUAUGUGGAACACAUUAUCAUGGGUUAUGGAAGCUGCUGCUAUUAUGGCGAUUGACAUUGCAAAUUGAGGAGGAAAGCCGCCUGAUUGGCAGUCUUUUGUGGGUAUUAUCACUCUGCUCAUAAUCAAUAACAAAGUUAGUUUCAUUGAAGCAAAGAAAGCUGGUAAUGUAGCAGCUCGCAAGGCCAGUCUUGCCCCAGGUAUCCUAUCCUUUGUUCUUCAUAAUGUAAAAAGUGCGAACAUGGUUAAAUCGAGGCGAUUGCGAUUGCUACUAGGGUUCAUAUGUUCUUUAGGAGAGUUGCUUAUAUUGUUGAUAGCACAAAUCAAGCUGGUCACUUUCAAAAACUAAACAUGAAAAAGAAUCAAACCAAUUAUUUUGUUUCAUUGGUGUAUGUUUCGAAUCUUGCACACAACAAACAGACAUAGAACGCCAGUUCAAGGCGUCAUUGAUUAAUCUGCAGACUGCGGAUUAAGGUCACUUGCUGUAGCGUACCAGAAAGUUCUAGAGGAGCAUUAGGCGAGUCCUGGAGGACCGUGGCAAAUCGUUGGGCUAAUGCUGCUCUUUGAUCUGCCACAUCAUGACAAUGCUGCAACUACAUGUUAUGUGGUGUUACAUCCACAAGUCAAAGGGGCCAGUAAUGGGUAUCAAUUACGACACACAGGUGGAUCUUUGAGUAAUGUGCUGCUAAUAGAUGAACUAAAUCCUUAGACAUAACUUAGACUGUGGGGUAUGGGGCGUGGCCCUUGGGGCUUGGGCAAGGUUUAAAAAAACGGAAACGAGUUUCGAGGCGUUUUCCCUUCGCCUCACGAGGCGUAAGCCUUGAGGCGAACCGAGGUGUAAGCCCGAGUCGGAGUUAAAAAAUAAAUAUAAAUAUUAUAUAUCUUAUAAAAAUAGUAAUAGUAACUAAAUUCAUCAUCAAAUUCAUCAAAAUAAUCAAAAACACACAUAAAAAAGACAUAAAUUGCUUGAAAUUGACACAAAAACUCAAAAACAUCAAAAACAUAUAUCAAAAACCCCUGAGGCGCACCUGACCUCAGCCCCUCUGAGGCGCACAUACAGUAUACACCCCCUGAGGCGCGCCUCAGAAUCGUUUUUCGGCCGUUUCGCCUUGAGGCGCGCCUCGAGGCGCACGCCUCAGCCGUUUUUUAAAACCAUGGGCUUGGGUUUGAAGCCGGGCGUGGGGCGGGCUUGAGAUCCGAUGUGGCGGCCUCCUAUUCGCUGUCCACCGCCUUGUCAUGGCGGGUGUUUGCAAUUUUUUUUUAAUAAACUGCCAAGCCACGCCCCCAACCCAAGCCCCGCCAUACCCCACGGACACGUCACUCACCGGUGGAAGGGCUCCAACUCCACAUGUCAACUCAUGCCCCCAACCCAACCCAAGCCCCACCAUACCCCACGGUCUUAAUGCUCAAAUUGUUAGUAGGUUGAGUGGUCACAUUUCCCUAAGACUUUCUGUUUUCACCAAGAAUUCCUAACCUGCAUUGUAUACUGAAAAAAAAAAAAAGAAUUCAAGCAUUUCAAUCAGAUGGUAACAGAAGAAGAUAAUCCUCCUUUAAUAGAGAUUAAUGCUCAAAUUGUUAGUAGGUUGAUGUAACAGAAGAAGAUAAUCCUCCUUUAAUAGAGAUUAACGAAGCUUCCAUUUUCAAGUAAAGCUUUCAAAAUUGUUUUACGCCAUCAUCUAGAAUAUGCUAUUUCUUUAUCAGGCUGUAUAAUCUAAAUUUUCUUUUACCUUCAGGCCUAUGUCAGUAAAAGCGCGCAUGGGUUGAGUGGUUGAAUUGAUUCCAAAACGUUUGUUUGAUAUUGUGUGGUCUUUCGUUUGGUUUACUCAUGAACUGCAAAGAAAUGGUUGUUUGGUUUACUUACGAACUGAUUCCGAAAUGGUUGUUUGAUAUUGUGUUGGCUGCUUCAUUUUGGUUUUGUGCCGCUGUUCAUUUUGGUUAAUUAGCAUGGGAAUACUUAUAGAUGUUGAUUAUUGUGAUCACUUUGAAGUUUUUCUUUAUUAUUACCAUUUAAUAAUGGGUCAUUAUGAUGAUUUUAGAAUCGAGUUGCCAAAAAUAUGCCUGGCCAAUUGCUGCAUUUUGGUCAACGGCUGCAUUUUAAUUUGAUGUUGCUGGUGUUUUUGGUUUAUCCUUUAUGGUCAAUAGCUUAAAUGGGUUUUAUAAAUUAUUCAAUUUACCUUUUGGAUCCAUAUGCGAAAAAACAAACCUUUGAACGAAAUUCACAAAAGUGAGAUGCUAUUUAUGUGUUGGUGUCACAGAACAUGCAAAUCCUCUUUCAUAUGCUGAUGCUGUAAUUGGUACGUAAUUGGUACGUCGGGCACUAAUAUUAGUUAUAUUAGACGAGCUAGUGGUGCAACCAUUGCUAUACAAGAAACAAGAGGUGUUCCUGAUGAAAUGACUGUUGAGAUUAACGGUUCAGCUUCACAAGUUCAGACAGCUCAGCAGUUGAUACAGAAUUUUGUUGCUGAAGCGGCAACUGCAACUCAGAAUUCAACUGCUCAGCCACCUGCCCAAGGAAGCUAUAACCCUUACUCGGGUCAUGCUCCUGCUUACCCGUCUCAACCACCUCCUGUCGCCCAUGCACCGCCACCUGCUGCUGACUAUGGUGGAUCUGUGUAUGGAGGGAAUAACGGGUAUUAAAGUGUGUGGUGACUGAAUAACCUUGUAAAGUUAUCUUUAUGUUUGGAGGGAGCAAGGGUAAUGUUGUAACGAGUAAUAGCUAGGUCUUUUGUCGUUUAUCUUUUUAGAACUUGAAACGUUGCGGCUUGCUUGGCCUCUCACUUCUCAGUUUAUGCAAAAUUGUGUUCUGGAUGAUGUUUUCGGAUCUAAUUAAGGUUUUACUUCAUAUCUAGAUUUACUAUUA